UACGAGAGGCCCAAACGUUAUUCGGAAUUACUGGGCUUAAAGAGUUCGUAGGCGGCAUGAAAAGCAGGGUGUGAAAGCCCUCGGCUCAACCGAGGAAUUGCGCUCUGAACUGUCGUGCUUGAGGAACCUAGAGGUGAGCAGAACAGAUGGUGGAGCGGUGAAAUGCGUUGAUAUCAUCUGGAAUACCGGAGGCGAAGGCGGCUCACUGGGGUUUUCUGACGCUGAGGAACGAAAGCCAGGGUAGCGAACGGG
RNAcentral lists this ribosomal RNA (252 nucleotides) under uncultured bacterium. Its description in RNAcentral is "partial 16S ribosomal RNA". It matches the Rfam family "Bacterial small subunit ribosomal RNA", at positions 524 to 776 of the family's 1533-position model. The record is from RNAcentral.